UAAACUGGACCUGGUACCAUAGGCCUGGAAUUUCAGCUACUCAGGAGACUGGGGUAGGAGAAUCUCCAGUUCUAGGCCAGACUUUGUAAUGUAGAACACAUCCAUCUCAAAAUGAAAUGUUUAAAAGGGCACCCAGACAUCGAACUCAAGUCAUCAGCCUUGGUUGCAAGUGGCCUUACCCACUGAGCCAUCUAACCAGCCCCAAUCACCUUUUCUAAAGCAGGAUAAAAACCCUGAUGUGAAGACAUGAGCUCAUAAAGAUCAAAGGUGUUUGCAGCGUUCAGCUCAAUAGACAACCGCAGAUGCUCUGAAAUGCUCAUCCCAAACAUCAAGUGUCCAAUAAACACAUUGCCAUCAUUUUUAUACCUAAUUUCAAAAUAAAAAAGCUAACCUUAUGCACCAA
Molecule: non-coding RNA, 403 nt
Organism: Rattus norvegicus (Norway rat)
Lineage: Eukaryota; Metazoa; Chordata; Mammalia; Rodentia; Muridae
Source: RefSeq, a predicted model, not a curated record